GAGUUUGAUCUUGGCUCAGGAUGAACGCUGGCGGCGUGCCUAAUACAUGCAAGUCGAGCGAACGGACGAGAAGCUUGCUUCUCUGAUGUUAGCGGCGGACGGGUGAGUAACACGUGGAUAACCUACCUAUAAGACUGGGAUAACUUCGGGAAACCGGAGCUAAUACCGGAUAAUAUUUUGAACCGCAUGGUUCAAAAGUGAAAGACGGUCUUGCUGUCACUUAUAGAUGGAUCCGCGCUGCAUUAGCUAGUUGGUAAGGUAACGGCUUACCAAGGCAACGAUGCAUAGCCGACCUGAGAGGGUGAUCGGCCACACUGGAACUGAGACGCGGUCCAGACUCCUACGGGAGGCAGCAGUAGGGAAUCUUCCGCAAUGGGCGAAAGCCUGACGGAGCAACGCCGCGUGAGUGAUGAAGGUCUUCGGAUCGUAAAACUCUGUUAUUAAGGAAGAACAUAUGUGUAAGUAACUGUGCACAUCUUGACGGUACCUAAUCAGAAAGCCA
Molecule: ribosomal RNA, 502 nt
Filed under: uncultured microorganism
Description: bacterial SSU rRNA
Rfam family: Bacterial small subunit ribosomal RNA
Source: RNAcentral